GUACCCCGAUGAUGUCAGCACUGGGCUCUGAUUCCUAUGGAGACACUUGGUGCCCCCCAGGCUUUGAUUCCCGGGGGUCUGAGGGACCC
Dromiciops gliroides (monito del monte) is the source of this 89-nucleotide small nucleolar RNA. The record is from RefSeq and is a predicted model, not a curated record. NCBI's taxonomy places the organism in Eukaryota, Metazoa, Chordata, Mammalia, Microbiotheria, Microbiotheriidae.